Molecule: ribosomal RNA, 421 nt
Filed under: Scirtothrips perseae (avocado thrips)
Lineage: Eukaryota; Metazoa; Arthropoda; Insecta; Thysanoptera; Thripidae
Description: eukaryotic LSU rRNA
Source: RNAcentral
AACGGACGAGAUCGAAAAGUCCGAAUGGGGAGAUUCAAGCCUAUCCGUGCCGGUGGCCCGCGGGUACAGACGGUGCGGUCGGCUCGGGGCCCUCGGGCUGCUGGGUUUGCUCCGUAUUCGCUCCUCCCGACGGUAUCUGUCUGGUGCGGUGGGCUGCACUUCUCCCCUAGUAGGACGUCGCGACCCGUUGGGAGGUUCCGAUCUUAUGGCCCGCGGUGGAGCCCACGCCGGAGCGGUAGGCUCGUCUUGCCGUUGCCGUGCAUGGACCCCUGGUGACCUGAUUGGCGCCCGACGGUAUCAAAGCUUGGGAAGGAACCGCACAGAGGUUGCGUCCGAUGCCCGGACCGGGCUACACUCGGACAGGUUCGCACCCGGUCUGCGGCGCUACUGCUUUCGAUACUCGUCCGACCCGUCUUGAAAC